RNAcentral lists this ribosomal RNA (256 nucleotides) under uncultured bacterium. RNAcentral's name for it is "partial 16S ribosomal RNA". It matches the Rfam family "Bacterial small subunit ribosomal RNA", at positions 524 to 776 of the family's 1533-position model. The record is from RNAcentral.
UACGGGGGGAGCAAGCGUUGUUCGGAUUUACUGGGCGUAAAGGGCGCGUAGGCGGCCACUGCAAGUCAGUUGUGAAAUCUCCGGGCUUAACCCGGAAAGGUCAACUGAUGACUGCAGGGCUAGAGUGCAGAAGGGGCAACUGGAAUUCUCGGUGUAGCGGUGAAAUGCGUAGAUAUCGAGAGGAACACCUGCGGCGAAGGCGGGUUGCUGGGCUGACACGUGACGCUGAGGCGCGAAAGCCAGGGGAGCGAACGGG